AGAAUAGUGAACUCAACGUUGGAACAACAGCAAGUCACAACACACAUACGAUUAGCACGUGCCCCUAUGUUUGUGGGGUGGGUGCCCGGCGUUGCGUGGUUAUAAAUCGUCCACAGAAGGAGGAUGAAGUAUAUCUCGACUGUCUCCACUAUUUUCCUAAUUUUAGCCAUGUCACAUGGCCUGGGAAGGAAAUGUCGACGGCUAUGGUGCUAUGAACAAUGUAAUUAUGGUCAAGAAAUUGAUGACAAUGGCUGUGAAACAUGUCGCUGUCUCCUACCUCCUAUAGGUCUCGGUUUAUCAUCUUUUCAAAAUUACACAUCCCUAGAUAUUCUAUCAACUCUGUCGAAAUCGGGUUCCAGUUUUUGGGUGCCCGAUGGUGCUGCCGGUGCUCGACAUGCUUCAGCACCAAUGUAAACUAUCCACAAAUACUGAAGAUAAUAGACUUUGUGUAAAUAAUAACAAGAAAAUUAUAGAUUU
Patella vulgata (common limpet) is the source of this 477-nucleotide long non-coding RNA. RefSeq lists it as uncharacterized. The transcript is spliced from 4 exons. The record is from RefSeq and is a predicted model, not a curated record. NCBI's taxonomy places the organism in Eukaryota, Metazoa, Mollusca, Gastropoda, Patellidae.